RNAcentral lists this long non-coding RNA (240 nucleotides) under Ananas comosus (pineapple). RNAcentral's name for it is "long non-coding RNA (ACOM_LNC014620)". The record is from RNAcentral. Lineage: Eukaryota; Viridiplantae; Streptophyta; Magnoliopsida; Poales; Bromeliaceae.
UACUAAGAGGAAUUCUACACUGUCACACUUGCACCACGUCAUCAAUAACAAGUCAAUCACAUUUUUUCUUUUCAAAUAAAAGUACAAUAAAAAUAUUUUUUUUAUAAUCAUGAUAGAACAUAUACUCCGAAAAAAAGACAUUUGAUUAGUUUUCGCCACAUCACUAAUAUACUCGUUGCAUUCUAGAAUUUUUCAGCUACUAGACCACUAUUUGUAAAAAUAAUUUAAGAAACAAAGAUA